UAGCAAAGACCAAAAAGUGUUAUAUGAUCUGAGAGGAAAUUUCUGAAUUUAUUUUUUUGUUGCUUCAUUUUGUUCGAAUUUUAAAAAUAAAUUCGUUCUGCGUGUGUGUGUGUGUGUUUUUACCUUGGCAAAAUGUCCAAGACACACACGCCGCAUGGCUAU
Molecule: small RNA, 162 nt
Filed under: Drosophila guanche
Lineage: Eukaryota; Metazoa; Arthropoda; Insecta; Diptera; Drosophilidae
Source: RNAcentral